This 253-nucleotide ribosomal RNA is filed under the name uncultured bacterium. RNAcentral describes it as "partial 16S ribosomal RNA". It matches the Rfam family "Bacterial small subunit ribosomal RNA", at positions 524 to 776 of the family's 1533-position model. The record is from RNAcentral.
UACGUAGGGUGCAAGCGUUGUCCGGAAUUAUUGGGCGUAAAGAGCUUGUAGGCGGUUUGUCGCGUCUGCUGUGAAAUUUCGGGGCUCAACCCCGAACUUGCAGUGGGUACGGGCAGACUAGAGUGUGGUAGGGGAGACUGGAAUUCCUGGUGUAGCGGUGAAAUGCGCAGAUAUCAGGAGGAACACCGAUGGCGAAGGCAGGUCUCUGGGCCAUAACUGACGCUGAGAAGCGAAAGCGUGGGUAGCGAACAGG